GGAGUUAGCCGGUGCUUCUUCUGUGAGUGAUGUCCUUCCUGCCGGCUAUUAACCCGCAGGCCUUCUUCCUCACUGAAAGUGCUUUACAACCCGAAGGCCUUCUUCACACACGCGGCAUGGCUGGAUCAGGGUUGCCCCCAUUGUCCAAUAUUCCCCACUGCUGCCUCCCGUAGGAGUCUGGGCCGUGUCUCAGUCCCAGUGUGGCUGAUCAUCCUCUCAGACCAGCUACGGAUCGUCGCCUUGGUGAGCCGUUACCUCACCAACCAGCUAAUCCGACAUAGGCUCAUCCGAUAGCGCGAGGCCCGAAGGUCCCCCGCUUUCCCCCGUAGGGCGUAUGCGGUAUUAGCCUGGGUUUCCCCCAGGUUAUCCCCCGACUACCGGGCAGAUUCCUAUGCAUUACUCACCCGUCCGCCGCUCGCCACCAGGGAGCAAGCUCCCCGUGCUGCCGCUCGACUUGCAUGUGUAGCUGCCGCCAGCGUCAUCUGAGCAGAAUACAACUACUGA
Molecule: ribosomal RNA, 504 nt
Filed under: uncultured bacterium
Lineage: Bacteria
Description: partial 16S ribosomal RNA
Source: RNAcentral